RNAcentral lists this ribosomal RNA (261 nucleotides) under uncultured Neisseria sp. RNAcentral describes it as "partial 16S ribosomal RNA". It matches the Rfam family "Bacterial small subunit ribosomal RNA", at positions 92 to 355 of the family's 1533-position model. Lineage: Bacteria; Pseudomonadati; Pseudomonadota; Betaproteobacteria; Neisseriales; Neisseriaceae. The record is from RNAcentral.
CGAGUGGCGAACGGGUGAGUAACAUAUCGGAACGUACCGGGUAGCGGGGGAUAACUGAUCGAAAGAUCAGCUAAUACCGCAUACGUCUUGAGAGGGAAAGCAGGGGACCUUCGGGCCUUGCGCUAUCCGAGCGGCCGAUAUCUGAUUAGCUGGUUGGCGGGGUAAAGGCCCACCAAGGCGACGAUCAGUAGCGGGUCUGAGAGGAUGGUCCGCCACACUGGGACUGAGACACGGCCCAGACUCCUACGGGAGGCAGCAGCC